RNAcentral lists this ribosomal RNA (801 nucleotides) under Streptococcus oralis. RNAcentral describes it as "bacterial SSU rRNA". It matches the Rfam family "Bacterial small subunit ribosomal RNA", at positions 80 to 868 of the family's 1533-position model. The record is from RNAcentral. RNAcentral also lists the same sequence under 1 other name. Lineage: Bacteria; Bacillati; Bacillota; Bacilli; Lactobacillales; Streptococcaceae.
UGCUUCUCUGGAUGAGUUGCGAACGGGUGAGUAACGCGUAGGUAACCUGCCUGGUAGCGGGGGAUAACUAUUGGAAACGAUAGCUAAUACCGCAUAAGAUUGAUUAUUGCAUGAUAGUCAAUUAAAAGGUGCAAUUGCAUCACUACCAGAUGGACCUGCGUUGUAUUAGCUAGUUGGUGAGGUAACGGCUCACCAAGGCAACGAUACAUAACCGACCUGAGAGGGUGAUCGGCCACACUGGGACUGAGACACGGCCCAAACUCCUACGGGAGGCAGCAGUAGGGAAUCUUCGGCAAUGGACGGAAGUCUGACCGAGCAACGCCGCGUGAGUGAAGAAGGUUUUCGGAUCGUAAAGCUCUGUUGUAAGAGAAGAACGAGUGUGAGAGUGGAAAGUUCACACUGUGACGGUAUCUUACCAUAAAGGGACGGCUAACUACGUGCCAGCAGCCGCGGUAAUACGUAGGUCCCGAGCGUUGUCCGGAUUUAUUGGGCGUAAAGCGAGCGCANGCGGUUAGAUAANUCUGAAGUUAAAGGCUGUGGCUUAACCAUANUACGCUUUGGAAACUGUUUAACUUGAGUGCAAGAGGGGANAGUGGAAUUCCAUGUGUAGCGGUGAAAUGCGUANAUAUAUGGAGGAACACCGGUGGCGAAAGCGGCUCUCUGGCUUGUAACUGACGCUGANGCUCGAAAGCGUGNNGAGCAAACAGGAUUANAUACCCUGGUAGUCCACGCCGUANACGAUGAGUGCUANGUGUUAGACCCUUUCCGGGGUUUAGUGCCGCANCUAACGCAUUAAGCACU